AUUGAACGCUGGCGGCAGGCCUAACACAUGCAAGUCGAGCGGAUGAAGGGAGCUUGCUCCUGGAUUCAGCGGCGGACGGGUGAGUAAUGCCUAGGAAUCUGCCUGGUAGUGGGGGAUAACGUCCGGAAACGGGCGCUAAUACCGCAUACGUCCUGAGGGAGAAAGUGGGGGAUCUUCGGACCUCACGCUAUCAGAUGAGCCUAGGUCGGUUUAGCUAGUUGGUGGGGUAAAGGCCUACCAAGGCGACGAUCCGUAACUGGUCUGAGAGGAUGAUCAGUCACACUGGCACUGAGACACGGUGCAGACUCCUACGGGAGGCAGCAGUGGGGAAUAUUGGACGAUGGGCGCAAGCCUGAUCCAGCCAUGCCGCGUGUGUGAAGAAGGUCUUCUGAUUGUAAAGCACUUUAAGUUGGGAGGAAGGGCAGUAAGUUAAUACCUUGCUGUUUUGACGUUACCAACAGAAUAAGCACCGGCUAACUUCGUG
This 484-nucleotide ribosomal RNA is filed under the name uncultured bacterium. RNAcentral's name for it is "partial 16S ribosomal RNA". It matches the Rfam family "Bacterial small subunit ribosomal RNA", at positions 30 to 507 of the family's 1533-position model. The record is from RNAcentral.